AGAUGGUGAACUAUGCCUGAAUAGGGCGAAGCCAGGGGAAACCCUGGUGGAAGCCCGCAGCGAUUCUGACGUGCAAAUCGAUCGUCAAAUUUGGGUAUAGGGGCGAAAGACUAAUCGAACCGUCUAGUAGCUGGUUCCCUCCGAAGUUUCCCUCAGGAUAGCUGGAGCCCGGUGCAGUUUUAUCAGGUAAAGCGAAUGAUUAGAGGUCUUGGGGUCGAAACGACCUCAACCUAUUCUCAAACUUUAAAUGGGUAAGAUGUCUGGCUUGCUCGACUGAAGUCGGACGCGGAAUGCCGGGGCUCCUAGUGGGCCAUUUUUGGUAAGCAGAACUGGCGAUGUGGGAUGAACCGAAAGCCGGGUUAAGGUGCCCGAAUCGACGCUCAGCA
This 386-nucleotide ribosomal RNA is filed under the name Mycale magnirhaphidifera. Its description in RNAcentral is "eukaryotic LSU rRNA". It matches the Rfam family "Eukaryotic large subunit ribosomal RNA", at positions 821 to 1207 of the family's 3401-position model. The record is from RNAcentral. Lineage: Eukaryota; Metazoa; Porifera; Demospongiae; Poecilosclerida; Mycalidae.